UUUUUGUGUGCCUGGCUGUAUGUCUGAGUAAAGAGGUAUUCUCUUGAGGAGUCGCUCAACGCCUGGGCACGGCGUUGCUGGUUUUAUGCUCGUAGUAACGUGUUUUUAGAACCUGACUAAUUUAUGGGACCACCGGUUUAGUGCAGUGGGACUGUUUCCCAUGCGUUUGAGAGGGCGCAUGCUUAUGCUGCCAUUGUUCUUUCUAAAAUUGAAGAGCGUUUUCUUUCCUAAUAAAAUAAGAGUUCAGAGUAAUAGGAGAAAGGAUAUGUAGAGCCAGAUGUUGAAAGCUGCCUCAACAUCGGCUGUAUCAACAGUGGGACAGUACAACAGAUCAACUGGCACCAUAACAGAAGACUUUAGCAAGCAAAUAAAACAACAGUUUUCCUCAAGCAAGCAUAGGAUGCUGUGCAGCUGCUGAACCUCUGCAAGUAGGGAGGGAAGGAGGCCUCUGAGCUGGGCUCUCUUCUGCCAUCAUGUGGAGGACGGGAGUCCUGAUGAGCCAGGAGACCGGAUCCACUAGAUGCUGGAGUGAGGGAAGGAGUAUGUUAUUUGCCGGAGAGAUCUUUGGUUGAUGGAGAAGGGCACUACUAUCUUAGAGGCUGUGGAUUGAUUCUCAUGGAUAUGUGGAGGAGGAAAAGGGUAACUACAGAAAAAGAAGCUGCUGUGCUGAAAUUGCUUCAGGCUAGCUCUUGGAAGCUCUGCUCAUCUGAAAAGGCUUGAAAGAACACUGAAGGUGUAGAGGGAAGGCGACAGACCAAGUACGUGGAGGGGCAAUGCACACUCUGCCUCUCUUCUGUGAAAAAUGAAGAUACAGAUUCUAGAAAGCUGUGGAGGCACAAAGCUUGUUAAAUCCUUGGCACAUUUUUCAGAGGAAGCCAGAUGUAUUUAGGGAAACGUCACUGGCGAUAUUAAUGUUGCUUAAAAAACUCCACAACUGCUUUCUAAACAUAAGCUUCUCUUAGUUAUAAAGCACUGGUUACUUUCAUCAAAGGAAAUGGCUGUGAGGAAAGUUACACUGAUCAAGAUGGAAAGAAUGCCAGAAAAAACAAUAAAAGAUUGGAACAAUUGUGAAUCAUGCAAAGACAGAUCUCCUUCUCAGUCAUAGGUUUUGGGAAGACCUUACUGCUUAAAGUUUCAAAACAAAGCCUACAAAGCCGUGGAAAGAGAUGCUUAUGAAAUCAACAGGAAAUUUUAUCUGGUAAGAAAAACACGAGUGUGCUACAGUCAUACGCUUCUUUUUUCUUCUAGCAAGAAGUGCUUAGAGGGGCACAGCAACCCAUAUUUUCUACUCACUGACUCACAGAAGUGACUCUGUACAGACCUUGCUGGUUGCCAAUUUUCAAAUACUGUUUCAAUGAAAAUCACUUUUGAAAUAAAAGGGAAUUAAA
Molecule: long non-coding RNA, 1388 nt
Filed under: Strigops habroptila (Kakapo)
Lineage: Eukaryota; Metazoa; Chordata; Aves; Psittaciformes; Psittacidae
Description: lncRNA (ENSSHBG00005001683.1)
Source: RNAcentral